Molecule: long non-coding RNA, 361 nt
Filed under: Cricetulus griseus (Chinese hamster)
Lineage: Eukaryota; Metazoa; Chordata; Mammalia; Rodentia; Cricetidae
Description: lncRNA (ENSCGRG00000025620.1)
Source: RNAcentral
AUUAGCGAUAGGUCCCCCUAACGUAGCUUGCCUCCUGACUGCCUUUAAUUCCUGUGUCCCCAGCAGAACUACAGAGAGACAAAGAAGCAACAAUCACACUGGGGGCCACAGGAGGGCCCUCAGUGGUCUCCAUGGCUGGCCAGGACCCGACACUGAGCACCAGUCACCCAUUCUAUGAUGUGGCCAGACACAGCAUUCUUCAGGUGGCAGGGGAUGACCACCAGGGGAGACGCAUCUUCACAUUCAGCUGCUGCCGCUUGCCACCCUCGCACCAGCUCAACCACCAGCGUCUGCUGGAGUAAGUACUACCCUACACUCUGCCCCAUGUCCUCAUGUGGACUCUGGGAUAAGACCCAUCCUC